This 809-nucleotide unclassified non-coding RNA is filed under the name Atta cephalotes. RNAcentral describes it as "nuclear pore complex protein DDB_G0274915 homolog, transcript variant X2". The record is from RNAcentral. Lineage: Eukaryota; Metazoa; Arthropoda; Insecta; Hymenoptera; Formicidae.
CAACAUGGAGCUCCAUAAUCGUUUGGCCAAUGAAGCCGCUAAUUACGAUGGCAAACAUUACGGUGGCGGUAUACCUCAGGUUGCGAGUGCCAGCAUUGGUUUAGGCCCAUAUGGUGGUUUUCAAUCUGGUCAAAUUAGUCCCAUUCCAGUCUACUCAAUAUAGUAUUAUUACUGGCGAUCUAUCCGUCAUAGGCUUCUCCAGGAAUAGAAUCCAGAUUUGCUGACGAUCUUCCUCCGCCAUCGGGUAACAGCUACGGAGUAUUCUCUAGUUCGAGCUCCUCCAGCAUGACCGGUCCGGAUGGCAGGCCGAUUAACCAUAAGUCUUCCAUUACAGGCGUUAACGAUAAUGGAAAAAUUUCUUAUCGCACUCUAUAUGAUUAAUUAAAUUACGCUCUUAAUUGUUUAUAAUCAUUAAUUUACUAUCAUGUACUGUAUAGAACGUACCAUAAUGAUGAUGAAGUUUUAUAAUUUAAAAUUGUUGAUGUUACAAAGUAAGAUUGUAGCAUAAAAUUCUCAAAACUCAGGCUCAAAUAUUUCCUUAAGAUUAUCACACAAAUACUCAAGUUUCUCUUAGAACUAACUAUUUGUUUCUUAAAAGUUAUAACUUUUAUACACGAUAUACACAUUUAAAAAUCUUGACAAAAUCUUUAUGAGUGUUAUGUUUUACUCGAAUAAUAUAGAGUAAAUACAAUUUUAUAUUUUUGACGACUAUUCUGCAUUUAAUUAUUACAUUUAUAUACUUAAAUAUAUAUUCAUAUUAUUGUAUCUACUGUGCAUAAAUUAAACUCUUGACGCUUUUAAGUUGAUUU